UUUGGGUAGCGGAUGGCCGCCGGCAGCAAUGCCAGAGGAAAGUCCGGGCACCAUAGAGCAAGAUGCUGGAUAACGUCCAGGCGCAGUAAUGCGACGGAUAGCGCAACAGAAAGUAAACCGCCUGCUACAAUGUAGGUAAGGGUGAAACGGCGAGGUAAGAGCUCACCGCGCAUUUGGUAACAAGUGCGGCACGGCAAGCCCCAUCUGGUGCAAGACCAAGCAGGGAUUCGCUUUUAGCGGGUGUAGCUCGCACCUUUGAAUUCCGGGUAGGUCGCUUGAGGUUAUCGGUAACGGUAAUCCUAGAUAGAUGGUCAUCGUCUUAUUAAGAUACAGAACCCGGCUUAUAACUACCCUAUCAUG
RNAcentral lists this RNase P RNA (360 nucleotides) under Fibrobacteraceae bacterium. Its description in RNAcentral is "RNase P RNA component class A". It matches the Rfam family "Bacterial RNase P class A". Rfam says of the family: Ribonuclease P (RNase P) is a ubiquitous endoribonuclease, found in archaea, bacteria and eukarya as well as chloroplasts and mitochondria. Its best characterised activity is the generation of mature 5'-ends of tRNAs by cleaving the 5'-leader elements of precursor-tRNAs. Lineage: Bacteria; Pseudomonadati; Fibrobacterota; Fibrobacteria; Fibrobacterales; Fibrobacteraceae. The record is from RNAcentral.